RNAcentral lists this ribosomal RNA (810 nucleotides) under uncultured bacterium. RNAcentral's name for it is "bacterial SSU rRNA". It matches the Rfam family "Bacterial small subunit ribosomal RNA", at positions 8 to 796 of the family's 1533-position model. The record is from RNAcentral.
AGAGUUUGAUCAUGGCUCAGAACGAACGCUGGCGGCGUGCUUAACACAUGCAAGUCGAACGCGAAAGGGGGCAACCCCCGGUAGCGUGGCAGACGGGUGAGUAACACGUGGGUAACCUACCCGGAGGUGGGGGAUAACCCUUCGAAAGGAGGGCUAAUACCGCAUGACAUCGUGGAGAUCUCGGUCUUCGCGAUCAAAGCUGGCCUCUGUUUACAAGCUAGCGCCACUGGAGGGGCCCGCGCCCCAUUAGCUAGUUGGUGAGGUAACGGCUCACCAAGGCCACGAUGGGUAGCCGGCCUGAGAGGGCGACCGGCCACACUGGAACUGAGACACGGUCCAGACUCCUACGGGAGGCAGCAGUGAGGAAUCUUGCGCAAUGGGCGAAAGCCUGACGCAGCGACGCCGCGUGGAGGAUGAAGGUCUUCGGAUUGUAAACUCCUGUCGAGUGGGACGAAUGCCAUGAGGGCGAACAGUCCUCGUGGUUGACGGUACCGCUGGAGGAAGCCCCGGCUAACUCCGUGCCAGCAGCCGCGGUAAUACGGAGGGGGCCAGCGUUGUUCGGAAUCAUUGGGCGUAAAGGGCGCGUAGGCGGCCGAUCAAGUCGGAGGUGAAAUCCCUCGGCUCAACUGAGGAAUUGCCUCCGAUACUGUUCGGCUUGAGUCCUGGAGAGGGUAGUGGAAUUCCCAGUGUAGCGGUGAAAUGCGUAGAGACUGGGAAGAACACCAGUGGCGAAGGCGGCUACCUGGACAGGUACUGACGCUGAAGCGCGAAAGCUAGGGGAGCAAACAGGAUUAGAUACCCUAGUAGUCC